Molecule: ribosomal RNA, 771 nt
Filed under: Streptococcus anginosus
Lineage: Bacteria; Bacillati; Bacillota; Bacilli; Lactobacillales; Streptococcaceae
Description: bacterial SSU rRNA
Rfam family: Bacterial small subunit ribosomal RNA
Source: RNAcentral
GACGAACGAGGGGCGUGCCUAAUACAUGCAAGUAGGACGCACAGUUUAUACCCGUAGCUUGCUACACCAUAGACAUGAGUUGCGAACGGGUGAGUAACGCGUAGGUAACCUACCUAUUAGAGGGGGAUAACUAUUGGAAACGAUAGCUAAUACCGCAUAACAGUAUGUAACACAUGUUAGAUGCUUGAAAGAUGCAAUUGCAUCGCUAGUAGAUGGACCUGCGUUGUAUUAGCUAGUAGGUAGGGUAAAGGCCUACCUAGGCAACGAUACAUAGCCGACCUGAGAGGGUGAUCGGCCACACUGGGACUGAGACACGGCCCAGACUCCUACGGGAGGCAGCAGUAGGGAAUCUUCGGCAAUGGGGGGAACCCUGACCGAGCAACGCCGCGUGAGUGAAGAAGGUUUUCGGAUCGUAAAGCUCUGUUGUUAAGGAAGAACGAGUGUGAGAAUGGAAAGUUCAUGCUGUGACGGUACUUAACCAGAAAGGGACGGCUAACUACGUGCCAGCAGCCGCGGUAAUACGUAGGUCCCGAGCGUUGUCCGGAUUUAUUGGGCGUAAAGCGAGCGCAGGCGGUUAGAAAAGUCUGAAGUGAAAGGCAGUGGCUCAACCAUUGUAGGCUUUGGAAACUGUUUAACUUGAGUGCAGAAGGGGAGAGUGGAAUUCCAUGUGUAGCGGUGAAAUGCGUAGAUAUAUGGAAGAACACCGGUGGCGAAAGCGGCUCUCUGGUCUGUAACUGACGCUGAGGCUCGAAAGCGUGGGGAGCGAACAGG